This is a long non-coding RNA of Mus musculus (house mouse), 936 nucleotides long. RefSeq annotates it as RIKEN cDNA 4930525D18 gene. The record is from RefSeq and is marked validated. The transcript has 6 exons. NCBI's taxonomy places the organism in Eukaryota, Metazoa, Chordata, Mammalia, Rodentia, Muridae.
GGGUUGUACAUUCUGCUUGCCAGGCUGAGGCAGUGGGAAAGGCAUCAGUGAGAUAAGCCAUGGAAGUACAGUACUGGGAACUAAGAAAAGCAUCAAACACUGUUUCUCCUGCGGUCGAUGUAUUAUUUUUAGCCCCACCAACAUCUUCCUAUGAUGAAGAUUAUUAUACACCCAUAAAAAGAAAGAAGAGGAAAAAGAGGAGGCGCUACUACUAAUUAAAAGCCUCCAUUAUACUCCAGUGCCUCUGUGGCAAGCCAGGAGGGUUCUCCAGGAUUGAACUACAACUGCCUGGUGUCUGCUUGCCCAGAGGACUGGUAUGCAGCUGAUGAAUCAUAUUUGGUGUUUGCUACAGGAACAAACUGCUGCAAAGAAGAUCAAGCUCGCCCCCAAAGAUCUAUUUCUGUUCAGGUCAAGGUCCUUGUACCUCUACACUAUUCAGGCUUCAGGAGCAGGCUGCCAUCAAGAAGAGGCUGAAACCUAGGGAAAGAUGCCUCUCUAUCCAUGGGCAUAUGAUGUGUUGGACCUCAGCUCUGAGUAGUCAGUAGCCAACAUCCUGGUCAGCGAGGAAAGCCUAGCCCUGUCUCUAGGAAGAAUGCGAAUCACAUCACCCUAGCCUUCAUUCAAGGUCUCCUCACUGAAGCUGGAUCAAGGUUUGGAGGCAACUGGGCCCACAUUCUCCUUUCUCUGCAACUGCCUAUGCUGGAGUAUGGAUGCACAUGGCAACUCCUGGUAUUUUGAAGUGCCUAGGAUUCCAAAACAAAUCACUAAUGUGUGUACAGCAAGUGUUUCCACAUGCUGAGCCUCUGUGCACCUUGUAGCUUACUUUACACAACCAUUUCAGGUGAACAUUCAUGUUCCUCUAGAUUAUUGCUUAAAGUUAGAGCAUGACACGUUUCAUAACUGUGAAUAAAAAGGAAUAAAAUCAAUUUAAAAUUU